Astatotilapia calliptera (eastern happy) is the source of this 2480-nucleotide long non-coding RNA. The record is from Ensembl. NCBI's taxonomy places the organism in Eukaryota, Metazoa, Chordata, Actinopteri, Cichliformes, Cichlidae.
AUUAAAAGGCACCCUGUGAAUAUGUUUUCACUAAGCACUGAGAUCAGUGAGACCAGAAAAGUGCUAUAUUAAUGCUGACACUCAGCUAUGUAUAGGAAUAUAAGGUCUGGAAGUAGUGUAAAGGUGCCCUGUUUUAUGAUCAUGUCACUAUAUUAAGGCUUACAGAAAAAUGCAAUUGAUUUAAACUUGUUUGCAGGAAAUAUAAAAAAGAAAAAGAAAUAAAUUAGCUCUGAAAAAAAUCUAUUUCUUAGUUGAUGCCAAUCUAAAAAAAGACAUCAAAGACAUACACUGACUGGCCAGUAGGUGGUGAUUUGGUAUGUGACUGUUCUGAAGGCAGGACUGUGAUGCAGUUUCUGCCUCGCCACUAGAGGGCGCGGCCGUUUUGUGAGUAAUGUUUGACUGGGAUGGAAAAUGGUGUUCAUGAAGGCAGUGUGAAUCACAAGUUAUGCUCGGGAGCAGUUUAUGUGGGUUCAAUGAGAGUGUGCGUCCAUAAGACUGAACCACACACACACACAUACCCACACCCACGCUAAAUCUGCCAUUAAAGAGCUGAACGAUCAUCCCCUGUCCUCGUUAAUUUCUGGAGGGUCAUAGUGGCACUUGACCUGUGCACACCCUGCGAUCACCACCGUAGAACUGAACCUCAUAUCAGAAAUCAUCAUAACAGUGACAAUCAUGUGUCUUGAACAUAACGUGCUCCCGAGAAGGUUAGGUUUGCAGUGCAGGUUACCAUGGUAAUGUAACAUGCGAGCCAACUUUUAAUACUGAAACAAGGGUUAACCCUGAAGUUAUGUAGCUACUCACAACGGCCCUAAUCCAGCUCUGUAGUACAGGGCUUUGUAUUUUGCUUUUGUCAAACUGUUUGUUUGUGCUCUUUGUGUUUUCCUACAUUUCUUUGUGCUUUUAACUCUUAUGUUCUUAUGAUGCUCAUUUUUUAUUAUUAGUUUAGCCUGCUACUGUAGGUUCAGGGGGAUGAUGUGGGUCUCAGCUUUGACCCAGAGUCUCCACCUGGUUGGAUAUGCCCCUUUACCUAAGGAGACAUUCAAGAGGUAUUCUUGAAAAAAAAAAAACCCCUUCAUCAUUUUAAACGCAUGUCUUCAACCUGGUUGUGGUGGCAGCAACACCUGCACAAGGUUACAAAAAUAGAGAGAUACAUGGCUUGCUGAAACAACACCAAAGUGACAUCACUUCUGUCUUCCAGCAUUGUUCAUGAGGGAUCGAAUGCAAGCAUGUGCCCAGAGUCCUCACCUUUCAGUAUCUCUAAUGGUGAAACAGGACAACCUAUGGAAGAAACUAAUUUCUGCUGCUUGUGGCCAUAGUUCAGGGGUUUGUGAUUCAGUAGAUGGAGCAGCUGUUUGUGCAUAAGAACAGACUUCUAGCCCUGAACAACAACCUAAAGGUAGUUUAACUUAUCCAUUUGCAGAAACACCCCAAUUUCCUACUCAUAAUGCAGCAUCCAACAUUUUUCAGGUAGGAAGCAAGGCUUCAGGCUUGGAGGGACUAACUCUACUCUAUGCUGCAGGAGUUCAUCACCCAAUUAGGCCAAGAGGAACACAUCAUUUACAAAAAGAAAAGAUGUGAUCCCGAGUCCACUAAUACCUGUACUUGUCAAUAUUAAGUGCUAAGAAGACAACACAUUGACACUACAGAGAUAUUUGAUUACAUGUUAAUGCCUAAACAUUGGUUAAACUUUUGCAAUGAAGUUGCAGUGAAGUUAAAAUUAAGAUUUUUGCAACUUCAUUUCAGUUUUUGGUUUUAAUAUCAGUCUUGUGUUUUUGUUUCCGUAUGGCACCAAAUAUCUGGAGGUUUGUUUAAUAAUGUGGAUGUCUUUAUGAUCUUUGUGACACAAAUUAAAUUUUACUUCUAUAUUUACUUCUAUUUUACUUCUAUAUAUUAAUUCACAACAACAGUUGCCUCAAAACCCAACCCAAACAUAAUCAUGAGUUUACUGUACUGAAAUGGCAUCCAUAAUCACCAGAACUUAAUCCAACAGUGAACCUUUGGGAUAUUCAAAUGACAAAUCUGCAGCAACUGUAUGAUGCUGUCGUGUCAAUAUGGACCAAAAUGUCUAAGGAAUGUUUCCAGCCCCUUGUUGAAUCUGUUGAAAACAAUUGAGGCAGUCCUGAAGGCAAAAGAUGUAUCUAAUAAAGUGUCUUGUGAGUGCACACAUUAGAGAAUAUGUUGUUGUAUAUUAGAGUAAUUUAUUGCAUGUGCUGCAUUUUGUCAUCUGCCUUCUCAGACUUUGGUUCAUCAAUGCUGUAACUCGCAGACAAUCCCUCCACAGUUAUCAAUGGCAGACUGAACUAUCAGUGUGUGUGUGUGUAUGUGUGUGUGUGGGUGUGUGUCUGUGUGUGCUUGGCCUGAGAUAACUGGGGUCAGGAAGGCACCAGUCAUAGGACAACCAAUGAAAUAUUUAUAGGAAUACAACACUAGAAGGUUUUACUGUACAGAGCAAAUUCACUGUAUAUAACUGUGACGGC